GAUCUCCAGUCUUGUGCCAGCAGCCGCGGUAAUACGGAGAAUGCGAGCGUUAUCCGGAUUUAUUGGUUUAAAGGUGCGCAGGCGGCGUGUCAAGUCAGCGGUCAAACUGCGGGGCUCAACCCGUACCGCCGUUGAAACUGGCAUGCUCGAGUUCGUGCGAUGGUGGCGGAAUGCGCGGUGUAGCGGUGAAAUGCAUAGAUAUCGCGCAGAACUCCGAUUGCGAAGGCAGCUGCCAAGCACUGGACUGACGCUCAUGCACGAAAGCGUGGGUAUCGAACAGGAUUAGAUACCCUGGUAGUCCACGCGGUAAACGAUGAUAACUAGUUAUCCGGGGCGAUUGGGCCUUGGGUGACCGAGCGAAAGCGUUAAGUUAUCCACCUGGGGAGUACGCCGGCAACGGUGAAACUCAAAGGAAUUGACGGGGGCCCGCACAAGCGGAGGAACAUGUGGUUUAAUUCGAUGAUACGCGAGGAACCUUACCCGGGCUCAAACGCAUGGCGACAGACCCUGAAAGGGGUUCUUCUUCGGACGUCAUGCGAGGUGCUGCAUGGUUGUCGUCAGCUCGUGCCGUGAGGUGUCGGCUUAAGUGCCAUAACGAG
Molecule: ribosomal RNA, 599 nt
Filed under: uncultured bacterium
Lineage: Bacteria
Description: bacterial SSU rRNA
Rfam family: Bacterial small subunit ribosomal RNA
Source: RNAcentral